Molecule: ribosomal RNA, 549 nt
Filed under: uncultured Glomus
Lineage: Eukaryota; Fungi; Glomeromycota; Glomeromycetes; Glomerales; Glomeraceae
Description: SSU rRNA
Rfam family: Eukaryotic small subunit ribosomal RNA
Source: RNAcentral
UUGGAGGGCAAGUCUGGUGCCAGCAGCCGCGGUAAUUCCAGCUCCAAUAGCGUAUAUUAAAGUUGUUGCAGUUAAAAAGCUCGUAGUUGAAUUUCGGGAUCAGUACGCUGGUCGUGCCUUCGGUAUGUACCGGUGUUACUGGUUCCUACCUUCUGACGAACCGUCAUGUCAUUAAUUUGGUGUGGCGGGGAAUCAGGACUGUUACUUUGAAAAAAUUAGAGUGUUUAAAGCAGGCUCGCGCUUGAAUACAUUAGCAUGGAAUAAUGAAAUAGGGCGUUCGAUCCUAUUUUGUUGGUUUCUAGGAUUGACGUAAUGAUUAAUAGGGAUAGUUGGGGACAUUAGUAUUCAAUUGUCAGAGGUGAAAUUCUUGGAUUUAUUGAAGACUAACUACUGCGAAAGCAUUUGCCAAGGAUGUUUUCAUUAAUCAAGAACGAAAGUUAGGGGAUCGAAGACGAUCAGAUACCGUCGUAGUCUUAACCAUAAACUAUGCCGACUAGGGAUCGGAUGAUGUUAAUUUUUUAAUGACUCAUUCGGCGCCUUACGGGAAAC